Molecule: long non-coding RNA, 344 nt
Filed under: Phaseolus vulgaris (common bean)
Lineage: Eukaryota; Viridiplantae; Streptophyta; Magnoliopsida; Fabales; Fabaceae
Description: long non-coding RNA (PVUL_LNC000175)
Source: RNAcentral
AAGCAUUGUGAGAAGUUGACCAAAACAAGAGAAAAACAAAGAUGGCAACUUCACACAAUUAAUUGUUCUCCAAAUACUCACUCUAACUCCUUUGCUUUGUUUCAAGAUUCUCAUAGGUUGAUAUUUGAUCCGGGAGGACACACCUUGACGAAGCAAGAGGCUGCUAUCCGAGAUCAAGUUAGCAAAUCUGAGGAUAGAUCUUUUCCCGAAGGAGGAGAUGAUGGACACCAUCCAGCCACAACAAGCCCCCUCAAAAGCAAAAGCUUUGGAUUUGAGGACAAAUCCUUUUCAAGAGGGAGGGGAUGAUGGAGGAGGGCCCGAGCUCACCACACGAUGAAAGCCAA